CCUUCCCAGACAGCAGAGGUGUUCCAGACGCCAUUGGCCAUCCUUCAGUGAAGGUUCCCAUCUUUUUGUUCCUGAUCACUUCUUUACUUUCUCGCAUUACAAGAUGUCCAGGCUCAUCUUGGUAUUUUCCCUGCCUCAGCCCUAUAAUCAGCCAUUUCUCCAGAUGAGAACAUAGAGACACAGAGAGCUCAAGUGAUUUGCCCAGGGUUCCACAGCUAGGAAAUGGCAGAGCCGGA
Molecule: long non-coding RNA, 236 nt
Organism: Choloepus didactylus (southern two-toed sloth)
Lineage: Eukaryota; Metazoa; Chordata; Mammalia; Pilosa; Megalonychidae
Exons: 3
Source: RefSeq, a predicted model, not a curated record